GGGGCUGUGGCUAGGUGGUGGAGCGCUUGCUUCACAUGCAUGAGGCCCUGGGUUCGAUCCUCAGCACCA
Molecule: transfer RNA, 69 nt
Filed under: Ictidomys tridecemlineatus (thirteen-lined ground squirrel)
Lineage: Eukaryota; Metazoa; Chordata; Mammalia; Rodentia; Sciuridae
Description: Spermophilus tridecemlineatus (thirteen-lined ground squirrel) tRNA
Rfam family: tRNA
About the family: Transfer RNA (tRNA) molecules are approximately 80 nucleotides in length. Their secondary structure includes four short double-helical elements and three loops (D, anti-codon, and T loops).
Source: Rfam by way of RNAcentral